UACAGAGGUCCCAAGCGUUGUUCGGAUUCACUGGGCGUAAAGCGCACGUAGGCGGAUCGAUCAGUCAGGGGUGAAAUCCCAGGGCUCAACCCUGGAACUGCCUUUGAUACUGUCGAUCUGGAGUAUGGAAGAGGUGAGUGGAAUUCCGAGUGUAGAGGUGAAAUUCGUAGAUAUUCGGAGGAACACCAGUGGCGAAGGCGGCUCACUGGUCCAUUACUGACGCUGAGGUGCGAAAGCGUGGGGAGCAAACAGG
This 253-nucleotide ribosomal RNA is filed under the name uncultured bacterium. Its description in RNAcentral is "partial 16S ribosomal RNA". It matches the Rfam family "Bacterial small subunit ribosomal RNA", at positions 524 to 776 of the family's 1533-position model. The record is from RNAcentral.